Molecule: ribosomal RNA, 253 nt
Filed under: uncultured bacterium
Lineage: Bacteria
Description: partial 16S ribosomal RNA
Rfam family: Bacterial small subunit ribosomal RNA
Source: RNAcentral
UACGUAGGGUGCAAGCGUUGUCCGGAAUUAUUGGGCGUAAAGAGCUCGUAGGCGGUCUGUCGCGUCUGCUGUGAAAACUCAGGGCUUAACCCUGGGCCUGCAGUGGGUACGGGCAGACUAGAGUGAUGUAGUGGAGACUGGAAUUCCUGGUGUAGCGGUGAAAUGCGCAGAUAUCAGGAGGAACACCGAUGGCGAAGGCAGGUCUCUGGGCAUUAACUGACGCUGAGGAGCGAAAGCAUGGGGAGCGAACAGG